Molecule: long non-coding RNA, 3339 nt
Filed under: Gossypium barbadense (sea-island cotton)
Lineage: Eukaryota; Viridiplantae; Streptophyta; Magnoliopsida; Malvales; Malvaceae
Description: long non-coding RNA (GBAR_LNC013046)
Source: RNAcentral
UAAAAAUCCCAAUUUUUUUAGUCAAAAUGGUGUCACCAUAUUUAUGGCAAAUUACAUUACAAUAAGUUGCAAUUGGUGUUGCAUUUGCGAAAUGUAAAAUCAAACCAUCGUCUUUUAAUUUUUUUUGUUGAUGGGAAUGGUUUUGAUUUUGUCAGCAUCUAGCUAGCCAAUCAGCAAGUUCAGUUUCCAAUAGGUUCGAGCUUGAUCAAUUAGCUCAUGCACCAUGAAAGCCUCGUGCCUACACCCUGAAAGACGGUCACUACUCAUUUAUCCUCAGUUAUAUAAAUGCUUUUUCCAUUCUCAACAUUCCCAUGAAUCUCUUUUUUCAAAGGCUUUGGAUGUGUUGAUGUUAUUUGAAUCGAAUUGGAUUAAUUGGUCAAAUUAAGAAUUAAUUGGGAUAUUAGUUUAAAGAAUAGUAUUAGACUGAUUAAUUCAGGAAUCAGUACAGUCCGAUUGAGUCAAACUUUUUUAUAAUAUUUUUAAUGAUUUAUUUAAUCGAACUGGAUGGUUCGAUUGAAUUAAUAGAAUCAGUUAGAUCGAUAAACCAAUAACUUGAUCGAUUCGAUCACCAAUCCGAUUCUAAAAACCUUAUUCACUCCCAUAAUUUUUUAAUCCCAUGACAAUGUUUUAGAGCAAGAGUAUUAAGAAUCAUGAUCGAAUGAAGAUAUUUUCCUUUAAGAAUCUCGACUCACAAAGAUUUAGGGUUCAUUAGAUAGCACCAUGCAUAUUGCAAUUUUAAUUGCACAUAAAUUCAUAUGUUAAAGAAAUUAGGAAUAUGGAAUGGAACCCCUUUGUUGAUAUUUCGACUUAUUUAUUCUAUUUUAGAUUUGGAACUAUAUAUCCUAAAAGCAUGUAAGAGUAGUCAAUGAGAUCUUAGUCUAUUAGUAAAGGUUGAGAUUCUCGAGUUUUAAUAUUGCUUUAAGUUGAUAUGAGUUGUCUUUAAAUAUAUUCAAACUUAAAUCUCACUAUAUAUAUAUAUAAAUUCUCCCUAAAACUAUUAUAGUUUUACUUCGAAUAUGAGUUCAAUUAUGUAAAAGUAAAAAGUAUUAUGAACUCAAAAUUCGAAGUUCUUCAUAAAAAUAUCAAUUAUAAAUUAUCAAAACAUAGAUGCAAGGGAUAUUGUCUCAUCUUUUCCUUGUUUUUAUAUAACUAAGGUAUCUUUUAUAUUCAUUUUACUAUCCAUGAAGACUAAGUUUUUUGGAGAUCAAUGGUCGUCCCUCUCAAUAAUGUCAUUUACGAAAUUCGAACUUGAAUUCUCUCAUUAAAAAUACAAUGUACUUUGUCACUACACCUAAUACUUGUCAAUUCUCAUCACCAUUAUCAUGAUAAGAAGCUUAUAGUUUUCUAUUUCUACUAAUAAUUUAGCUUUGAUAAUUUUAUGUCCCACUCUUAUUAUUAUGAAAUCAUGUACCAUCACACAUUUUUAACAUUUCUUAUGAGGAUCAUUAGUCUAUAUCUUUUAGAAUAGGGAUAAUAUAAUUUUGGGAUUCUAAACUUGAUAAAUUAAGUCUACUUGAGUAAUUUAACUUGACAACUGCAUUCAUUUUUAUUCCUGCAUUUGAAAAUAUAAAAAAGUUUAAUGAUGUGACACUUUGAGAUUUGUCAUAUCAGUUGAAAAUUUAAUAUAAUUUAAUAUACAUAUUUUUAAAAUUAUUAAAUCGGUUCAACUACUGGUUUUUUGUCCAAAUUUUUAAUUUUAUCAAUUUUGAACAGUUCCUAGUUCAAUCGGUUCAACUCAUUUGUUUGGACCAAUAUACUGGACUGUUCUUUGUCUAAUCAGUCUACCUAAUCUGUAAUACCCCAUACCCGUACCUGAGAUCCGGGAUAGGAUACGAGGCAUUACCGAAAUUUUCAGAAUAAUUUCAAUUAAUUUAUAUUAUUUAAUAUUCAUUUUCAUGUUUCAUGUAACAUCCUUUUCAUAUAUUCAAUUCAAAAUAUCAUAUAAAAUACGAUACAAUACUUAAAUUUUCAUAUUUACAUGCUCAUUCAGGGUAUCCGAACCUACCUGACUAAAUUGCAGAAAUACCAAGAUUUAGGGGCAUAUUGGUAAUUUACCAUUUUCCCAAAUUUCACCCAAUCUUAAAUUGAUAAUUUCAUUCACUUUGUUAAUUUAGAUAAUAAAACAAUUUAUUCCCUUCAAUUUAGUCAUUUUUGACAUUUUUUACAAAAUUGCCCCCUAAAGUUUUACUUUUAUUCAAUUUAGUCCAUGAGCUUAAAACAUGCAAAUUAGCCAUGCUAACUGAAUAUUCAUAUAUAUUUUUUCCUCCUCCUCCUCCUCUCCAUUUCACAUCCUUAAUGUAUAUAACAUUCUUGUAAGUACGAUUUCACAAUUUACUUAUUAAUGCUCACAUCAAUCUGUUCACACGAGUCAUAGUCACUCAAUUAUUUAUAAUUCGAGCUACAGAGCUCAAAAUUAAGAUCCGUAAAUUUUCCCUAAAACUAGACUAACAUAUAAUUCCACCAUAAAAUUUUAAGAAUUUUUGGUUUAGCCAAUUAUUACAGUUUAUUCAUUUAAGUUUCCCCUAUUUCACUAUCCAACAGUUCUGACCUCUCUUCACUAAAAAUUAAUUAUAUCACAGUACAAAACUCAGAUAAUGUUCCCAUUGAUUUCUAUUGAAAAUAGACUCAUUAAGGAUUCUAAGCAUAUAAAUUUGAGACUCUAAUUAAUUUUAUCCAAUUUUUUGUUAUUUUCCAAAGUCAAAACAGGGGAACCCGAAUUCAUUCUAUUCUUGUCUCACAAAAUUCAUUAUAUCUCAUAAUUUACAAAUCCAUUGCUUACACCGUUUCUUCUAUGAAAAACUAGACUCAAUAAGAUUUAAUUUCAUAUUUUAUUCAUCUUUUAAUUCGAUUUAUAAAAUUUAUGGUGAUUUUUCAAAGUUAGUCUACUUCUGCUGUCCAAUAUUGUUUUAGUUCAAGAUGUUUAUUACCAUUUUUCCUCUAAAUUUCAAAGGUCAUACAAUUCAGUCCUUGCUCAAUUAGCCCAUCUAUUAAGCUAAUUUUUCUCAAUUAACAUUUUAUUCCAUCAUUCUAAACUAUUACACAAUCUUUGAAAAUCAGAAUUUUAACACUAAACCAUAAUUCACAACUUUUUCACAAUUAGGUCCUAAAAUCAAUUUCUAUUGAAAUUACUUGAUAAAAUCAUCAAACAACAAAAUCAAAGCUUCAAAUUCAUUUUAUUUCAUCAUAAACAGCAAACACUUAUCAAUGAUAGCUUUUAAUUUUGUUCAUAAAAUCAAAAACUAAUGAAUUAAACACUUGGACCUAAUUGUAAAAGUCACAAAAACAUAAAAAUCUCAAAGAAAAGGGUAAGAAUUGAACUCACAUAUGUCAAAGUAUGAA